Molecule: unclassified non-coding RNA, 25 nt
Filed under: Mus musculus (house mouse)
Lineage: Eukaryota; Metazoa; Chordata; Mammalia; Rodentia; Muridae
Description: oocyte_clustered_small_RNA5779
Source: RNAcentral
UUACAGUCUGUUCAAUAUCAUGGAA